Molecule: ribosomal RNA, 425 nt
Filed under: uncultured bacterium
Lineage: Bacteria
Description: partial 16S ribosomal RNA
Rfam family: Bacterial small subunit ribosomal RNA
Source: RNAcentral
GUGGGGAAUAUUGGACAAUGGGCGCAAGCCUGAUCCAGCCAUGCCGCGUGAGUGAUGAAGGUCUUAGGAUUGUAAAGCUCUUUCACCGAUGAAGAUAAUGACGGUAGUCGGAGAAGAAGCCCCGGCUAACUUCGUGCCAGCAGCCGCGGUAAUACGAAGGGGGCUAGCGUUGUUCGGAAUUACUGGGCGUAAAGCGCACGUAGGCGGGUAUUUAAGUCAGGGGUGAAAUCCCGGAGCUCAACUCCGGAACUGCCUUUGAUACUGGGUACCUAGAGUAUGGAAGAGGUAAGUGGAAUUCCGAGUGUAGAGGUGAAAUUCGUAGAUAUUCGGAGGAACACCAGUGGCGAAGGCGGCUUACUGGUCUGGUACUGACGCUGAGGUGCGAAAGCGUGGGGAGCAAACAGGAUUAGAAACCCGGGUAGUCC